GUGAGGAAUUUUCCGCAAUGGGCGAAAGCCUGACGGAGCAAUGCCGCGUGAAGGAUGAAGGCCUAUGGGUUGUAAACUUCUUUUCUCAGAAAAGAAUUAUGACGGUAUCUGAGGAAUAAGCAUCGGCUAACUCUGUGCCAGCAGCCGCGGUAAGACAGAGGAUGCAAGCGUUAUCCGGAAUGAUUGGGCGUAAAGCGUCUGUAGGUUGUUUAAAAAGUAUUCUGUCAAAGAUUAGGGCUUAACCCUAGAUAGGCAGAAUAAACUUUUAAGCUAGAGUUUGGUAGAGGCAGAGGGAAUUCCCGGUGGAGCGGUGAAAUGCGUAGAUAUCGGGAGGAACACCAAAGGCGAAGGCACUCUGCUGGGCCAAUACUAACACUGAGAGACGAAGGCGAGGGGAGAAAAUGGGAUUAGAAACCCUUGUAGUCC
This 426-nucleotide ribosomal RNA is filed under the name uncultured bacterium. RNAcentral's name for it is "partial 16S ribosomal RNA". It matches the Rfam family "Bacterial small subunit ribosomal RNA", at positions 354 to 796 of the family's 1533-position model. The record is from RNAcentral.